AGCAGGACCACUUGCUGAGUGCUCCUCACUCCCUGGCCUCUGGGAGGGUCUGAGACUGGGCCCUCCCUGAGUGGGGAGGUGAGUUCCCAGAGAGCAGGGCUCCACACGUGGGCAGACUGGGCAGGAGAGGCCCCGGGUGGGCGGAUGCCUCCCUCACUGGGUCUUGGGACAGAUUCACAGCCAGCCCAGAACAAGUUCAAUGGCUGAGGUGAGGUUGUGUAUGACUUCACUCUUAAGACAUUCU
RNAcentral lists this RNase P RNA (244 nucleotides) under Microtus ochrogaster (prairie vole). Its description in RNAcentral is "Nuclear RNase P (ENSMOCG00000011925.1)". It matches the Rfam family "Nuclear RNase P". From Rfam's summary of the family: Ribonuclease P (RNase P) is a ubiquitous endoribonuclease, found in archaea, bacteria and eukarya as well as chloroplasts and mitochondria. Its best characterised activity is the generation of mature 5'-ends of tRNAs by cleaving the 5'-leader elements of precursor-tRNAs. Lineage: Eukaryota; Metazoa; Chordata; Mammalia; Rodentia; Cricetidae. The record is from RNAcentral.